GACGAACGCUGGCGGCGUGCUUAACACAUGCAAGUCGAACGGAAAGGCCCUGCUUUUGUGGGGUGCUCGAGUGGCGAACGGGUGAGUAACACGUGAGUAACCUGCCCUGGACUGGGGGAUAACUUCAGGAAACUGGGGCUAAUACCGGAUAGGAGCUCCUGCUGCAUGGUGGGGGUUGGAAAGUUUCGGCGGUUGGGGAUGGACUCGCGGCUUAUCAGCUUGUUGGUGGGGUAGUGGCUUACCAAGGCUUUGACGGGUAGCCGGCCUGAGAGGGUGACCGGCCACAUUGGGACUGAGAUACGGCCCAGACUCCUACGGGAGGCAGCAGUGGGGAAUAUUGCACAAUGGGCGGAAGCCUGAUGCAGCAACGCCGCGUGCGGGAUGACGGCCUUCGGGUUGUAAACCGCUUUCGCCUGUGACGAAGCGUGAGUGACGGUAAUGGGUAAAGAAGCACCGGCUAACUACGUG
Molecule: ribosomal RNA, 468 nt
Filed under: uncultured bacterium
Lineage: Bacteria
Description: partial 16S ribosomal RNA
Rfam family: Bacterial small subunit ribosomal RNA
Source: RNAcentral